UUCGGGGGUACUCGAGCGGCGAACGGGUGAGUAACACGUGAGUAACCUGCCCUGGACUUUGGGAUAACCCUCGGAAACGGGGGCUAAUACCGGAUAGGACUUCUGGCCGCAUGGCUGGGGGUGGAAAGUUUUUUCGGUCUGGGAUGGACUCGCGGCCUAUCAGCUUGUUGGUGGGGUAAUGGCCUACCAAGGCGACGACGGGUAGCCGGCCUGAGAGGGCGACCGGCCACACUGGGACUGAGACACGGCCCAGACUCCUACGGGAGGCAGCAGUGGGGAAUAUUGCACAAUGGGCGGAAGCCUGAUGCAGCGACGCCGCGUGAGGGAUGACGGCCUUCGGGUUGUAAACCUCUUUCAGCAGGGACGAAGCGCAAGUGACGGUACCUGCAGAAGAAGCACCGGCCAACUACGUGCCAGCAGCCGCGGUAAGACGUAGGGUGCGAGCGUUGUCCGGAUUUAUUGGGCGUAAAGAGCUCGUAGGCGGCUUGUCGCGUCGACUGUGAAAACCCGCAGCUCAACUGCGGGCCUGCAGCCGAUACGGGCAGGCUAGAGUUCGGUAGGGGAGACUGGAAUUCCUGGUGUAGCGGUGAAAUGCGCAGAUAUCAGGAGGAACACCGAUGGCGAAGGCAGGUCUCUGGGCCGAUACUGACGCUGAGGAGCGAAAGCGUGGGGAGCGAACAGGAUUAGAUACCCUGGUAGUCCACGCUGUAAACGUUGGGCGCUAGGUGUGGGGGACCUCUCCGGUUCUCUGUGCCGCAGCUAACGCAUUAAGCGCCCCGCCUGGGGAGUACGGCCGCAAGGCUAA
This 805-nucleotide ribosomal RNA is filed under the name Micromonospora pisi. RNAcentral's name for it is "bacterial SSU rRNA". It matches the Rfam family "Bacterial small subunit ribosomal RNA", at positions 80 to 897 of the family's 1533-position model. Lineage: Bacteria; Bacillati; Actinomycetota; Actinomycetes; Micromonosporales; Micromonosporaceae. The record is from RNAcentral.